Pelobates cultripes (western spadefoot toad) is the source of this 213-nucleotide non-coding RNA. NCBI's taxonomy places the organism in Eukaryota, Metazoa, Chordata, Amphibia, Anura, Pelobatidae. The record is from the annotation of a GenBank genome assembly.
GCCCAAAUCAUGUCUUAAAAGGGCAAUACAUCCCAGGGGCCAUAGUCACAUGGCUGGAGGCUGGCGAUCAGUCUUCUCCAAUGCCCAGUGGCGAGGUCGGUUUCGCUACAUUUCUCCCCUUUCCCAAAAAGACUAACAAGGUAUCUGACCUCCUGUCGGUCAGUGCCUUGGUUAGUCCAGCAACCCACCCACAAAACAUAGUCAGUAGUGCAG